This is a long non-coding RNA of Meleagris gallopavo (turkey), 2966 nucleotides long. RefSeq lists it as uncharacterized. NCBI's taxonomy places the organism in Eukaryota, Metazoa, Chordata, Aves, Galliformes, Phasianidae. The record is from RefSeq and is a predicted model, not a curated record.
UACACAGGAUCUUGAGCUGAGCUGAACCAGAUCUCUGAGGAUCCAUUUAGAGGGAUAUUUGAAGGCUUUGAAGAAUUCAGUGAAAAAAGGAGGCUGGAUGCUCAGCAGGAGUGCAGUGAAGCUAAGGAUUCUUCAAAAGAAAGAAGUCUGUGCACUGGCUCUGCAAAAAGGCAGGAAGGGGAAAGGCAGAAGCAAUCUCUGCUGGGUUAAGUAGACAAGGCAAGAUACAAUGUGUGGGAGGGCUAGAAGGAGAAGAAAAUAUACUUCCAGUCCCCAGUCUUGGUGGAUUAUUAAAUGUCAAAACCCUUGGCCAUCUGGUGAUGUCGUCAAAACCCACUCUUGGGGCUGCUUUGAAAGGCCCUUGCACAACAUGCUACGCUACAAAAGAGUGAGUUGGAGCUGUGUACCAUUUCUUCAAGGCAGAAGAGCUCUCAGCAGGGCAGGAUUGUGCAGCCCUGCUGCCUGCAGGGGAAUGCAAAGAGGUUUGUGCAUAAUGAUCUCCCACCAGGACUGAGGGAUUUACCAUCAACCUGCACAGUGGGCUUUGCUUGUGAUGUGCAGUCUGGCCUAUGGCCCCAACUGCCAUUAUCAGUAGGACAUUCAGGUUCAGAUGUGUUUUAAGUUCUUACCCAUUAAACCAAUGUGACUGAAGAGCGUUUACAGUGACAGCUGUCUGUCUCCUUUUUGGAGGUGCUCAUUCAUCCUUCACCACUACAAGCUGUGGCCUGUGUGUUGUGACUAACAGCAGGCAGUGGGAGGGCCUGCUUUUGUUCCUGCAUCUCUUACUGACUUUGGGAAAUCUCUCCUACUGUCUACUAAAGUUUCUCUGAAAAGUAUUUUAAACCAUUUUUUUGUUGACCAUGUUGGCAAUUAGAAGCAGACUGCAUCCCAUAUUCUGGGACUUCUUAAUGGAGAUUGCUUGUUCAAUUUUCCAAGGAACCCAGGAGUAAAUCUGGAGUGUCGUGAUUACUGCAUAAUCAUCUUGAGGUUUAACCCUACUGUCAAUAGAGACACUGCCUGAUGUCAAAGAGCUGAAGCAUAAAUUUAUCUGUGGGAAGUUCAGUAAAGAUACUUUCUAGUUCUUGCAAAAUAGCGUUAGAGCAGAUCCUCCCUGGCUAAAACACUGACUAGAAAGAGAUUUGACAUCUAAAUUAUCUAUGUGCUCAAUGUAGUUCAGGAGAAAGUCCAGCUUUUUCUGAGUUCUUAAUCUUUUUCUCAGGGAUGUUUCAAAUUACUCACUUUGCCUAAUAUUUGGGUAUAGAGCCAUUUUUAGCACCAGAGAUUUUCACCUAAGAUUAAUGCAGUGGGAUUUCAGUGUUGUCAGAGCAAAGUCCUUCAGUACCAUCUAUAUUGUACUUUUGGCUAAGGAGACUUAGAGCCAUCUGGCAACUAACGGGUGUAAGUUUGAAAGGGGACUGAGGGAGUGUUUUAGUUGUCUCGUGUUGGACACGAGAUACCAAAAGAAUUCAUGGGUCACAUUACAGGAUAUUUACCAUGAUGAUGAAUGUUCUUAUUGCUACUGCUUUUGGUGGAGGGAUUCAGCUCCCAGACUGGAGACCAAGCGUGGAGUAACAUCUGUGGCCAUAUGGCACUGUGGGCAUCUACCCACAGUGUCUUCAGGGCCCUGCCUUGGGCUUUUGCAGUGCUUUUGCAGCCCAUAGUUUUAGCACCUACAUUUCCUGAGUUUUUUGAGAAGAACUCCCUCAGGCACCUGGGAACACACCGUUCAGUCAUGUCGUGCUCUUCUUUGCUGGUGAUACUUGUCUGUUCCUUCUCUGAGUUUCCAGGGCUGGUAGCCUGGCAGCUGGUGCAUUUGGAGAGCCAACUUGUCAGAGACAGAGAACAAAAACAGAUGUUUAAGACACCCAUUGAAGACUUGCUGAUGCCUUAUGGAAUGUGGCAAAAUGUUUAAGGUGAUUACAGCCCAUGUUUCUCAGUGAUGAAUGUGGCAGAAAACUGUUGCAGAGCAGCACAGCUCAGACAGGAGCUGCUUGAUGUUACAUCCACUCCUGCUGAUGCAACUUUGCAAUUUGAAUCCUGAACAAAAUGCUGUUGUUUUACCAAGCCAUUUUCACCUCCAAAAUGACCUACAACGUCUUAGUAACCACACAGAGACACACUAGUCAGGAGUUAGAGAGUACAGAGAGGAUGAUAUACAGAGUUAGGGAGGGAGAGAGAGAAGAAAGCAGUUCCCAGGAAUCAUGUCCCCAUUGCAGUGGUUGUAAGAGGGCCACUAUGAAGGUAACACCCAUCCAGCAUUGCUUGGUGCACUUCAUUUGUGGGUCUGUAGCAGCAAAUAAAACAAAUUUGAACAUUGCUGCAGCUGCAAGGACCUCUUGUCAAGUGGAGAAGUCUGUGGUAGGCUAUUACAUAGUUCUGUGAUUAUUAGGAGGUUCUGGUGUGGAAUCACACUCAGGAGAGCUUAGGUAUGCUUAAAGCAUUAUUUGACAUAAUUAAAACAGCUUGUUUGAGAAGACUAUCUGAUCAGUCACACCUAAAAUAAUUGCCAGGAAAGUCUGGUGUGAUAAUUUGUUAGCUUAGAAAUGAUUUUCCUGGCUCCUUGCAUGGCAGGCUGCUCAAUCUACAAACCUCAGUGGGCCUGAGAAGAUUGAUUUUAAAUGAUAAAAUAAUAGAUUGAGUCUUAUUUUUAAAGGUGUCUUGCAAACAGAAAAAGACCACACAAUUCUGUGGAGUAUAUUUCUUCACAAAAUAUACAAAGAACAUAAAAGUGUUGGCUUGUUGUUUUAAUAUUUUUUCUGCUUGAUUUUUUAUUUCAGGUGAGAAUGCUAAGCCUGACAUUUCAUUAACUUUGUAGAGAUUUUGCUGAAGAGUCAGUUGUGAAAUGGGAAUUUUGUCAGAUCUGAAUGAAAAUCUUAAAAAGAUAUCAGUUCCCUUAGAGGGAAUCCUUGCUGUUUGAUAUAAAGUUUUUUAACACAAAGAAGACAAAAGUCAUUUUAACAGAUUAA